This is a small nucleolar RNA of Hydractinia symbiolongicarpus, 70 nucleotides long. The record is from RefSeq and is a predicted model, not a curated record. NCBI's taxonomy places the organism in Eukaryota, Metazoa, Cnidaria, Hydrozoa, Anthoathecata, Hydractiniidae.
GUGUAAUGAUGAAUUUAUUCCUGAAACCAUCAUAUGUUGAUAUAAAACGAGCUUUUUAAAACUGAACACC